UAACGGUCACUGAAAUAAAAAAGAAGAAGUGUAAUGUUUAAAAAUUCACAAAACUUAAAUCAUAAAAAUAAUUUUCCAUACAAUUGAAAUAAUAACGAUUUCUCUUCAUCUUCAUCAAUCACGGAAUUAACGGAUAGUUAUUCAAGCGACCGGUACCAUGCGAUACAAUCGUGUCACAGAAAUCUACACGGACCCAUGGCCUCUUCCGGAAGCUGAUAGACGACCGCAAAAAAAAACGCCUCAAAGCUGGAACAAUGACACUUAUCAGUCACUCGCGAACCGCAAUCGUCCUUAUUUUUCGAUCCUGGAGGCUACUAGUGCUGGAGCAUACUUCCGAGAACGAUACUAUUACGAAAACAGAUAAAUAUUAUUUUGUAUCAACGACGAAUAAUAUUGUUUUGCGCCCAGUAUGUGGAGAUUAAAAUUUCACGAAAUUUUUUACGGAUUUAUCAUCAUAAAUUUCAUCAAAUUGUUUUGUACAAAUUAUGAAGGAUAUUAAAACUGAGAUUAAAAGAUAAUUAUUUAA
Molecule: long non-coding RNA, 526 nt
Organism: Apis cerana (Asiatic honeybee)
Lineage: Eukaryota; Metazoa; Arthropoda; Insecta; Hymenoptera; Apidae
Source: RefSeq, a predicted model, not a curated record